UUUGCCGGGGUGUUUAUUUUUAUGUCUGGACCAUCUUAUCCACUUGAGCGCCUAUCGAUCUCUCCUACCGUCUCGGCGGCGGCGGCUCGCAGCUUGAACCACGAUAGUGGCCGCGAAGAGAAAAGCUCGCUCGACAGCGUCUUCCAUUGGCCGUGGCUCUUCUUCUCGCCGGCCAUGGGCCCACAGCGACAACUACAAUGGCCAGGUGGCCGUAACGCCCGCCGCGUCGCUAGUUGAUGAGCAUCAUGCCCAAGAAUACUGGCGCCCAGUUCAUCCCGAUCGAUGGUGGAGUCUUGUCCGAGCCUUCCAACCGUAAGCAGCUGGUUUUGAAGCCUACCAAGGCACCAAUCAAAUCCACAUUUGCAUACAUAAAUUCCUGAUGGCAGCAACUUAAUCCUGUUGAGCGGCAAUGAUUCUACCGGCUACUCCUUCGUCUAACUCGUUUUUCAUGUAAACAUGGCAGAAACCACCCUAGAUCUGGUACGACAUGUUCGCGCGUGUGCAGUAUUUUCUGCAUUUAUUUCUUCUGAUAAUGGAGUGGUCAUUGUAUUAGGAUA
Molecule: long non-coding RNA, 557 nt
Organism: Triticum aestivum (bread wheat)
Lineage: Eukaryota; Viridiplantae; Streptophyta; Magnoliopsida; Poales; Poaceae
Exons: 2
Source: RefSeq, a predicted model, not a curated record